UACAGAGGGUGCGAGCGUUGUCCGGAAUCACUGGGCGUAAAGGGCGCGUAGGUGGUGGCUUAAGCGUGCGGUGAAAGCUCGGGGCUCAACCCCGAGUCGGCCGUGCGAACUGGGCUCACUGGAGCAUAGUAGAGGCAGGUGGAAUUCCGGGUGUAGCGGUGGAAUGCGUAGAGAUCCGGAAGAACACCCGUGGCGAAGGCGGCUCUCUGGGACGGUACUGGACGCUGAGA
This 230-nucleotide ribosomal RNA is filed under the name uncultured bacterium. RNAcentral describes it as "partial 16S ribosomal RNA". It matches the Rfam family "Bacterial small subunit ribosomal RNA", at positions 524 to 751 of the family's 1533-position model. The record is from RNAcentral.